AUGUAUAUCGUCGCUGUUAUGCAAAAACCUCGUAUCUCAAUUUUUUGCGGAAAUCUUUUUAUCGAUUAUUUAAGAUUAGAUAGGUAUGAUCCACUGUAUGCGAAAAUAUCUGAUCUUCUAACCAAUCAUUUACUCGAAUUCUGACACGAGACGAAAAAGUGUAGUCGGAUCGGUGAGACAUUUUGUUGUGCGAAAAUAUCGUAUCUCAAAAGAAAACACAUGGCACGGCAGAUUAUAUUAUAACAGGUACAGUUUUAUCAAUUUCAGGUUUUCAAAGCUAAUAUAGCUUAAAAAUAAUGAAAAGCUUUGAAAAAACAAUAUAGGUGCAGAAAUAUUUGCUCGUCUUGGUAAUUGAUUGGUUAGAAGAUCAGAUAUUUUGGCAUACAGUUGAACAUACAUAUUUAAUUCAAAUAUCGAUUAAAGAUUUCAGUUUUUAAUGCCUGGUGAAAAAUUAUCAAAACCUUAGAUACGUGGUUUCUGCAUAACAGCGACGAUAUAAGUGUCGUACCUAUCAUGUGGUCAGUUUCCCGCCGAAACGGGGUGAAACGUGGGUUUCGGUCAUUCAGCACGACAGCGCCAAAGUGAUCGGUCCUUCUUUAAACGCUUGGUAAAUUUUGAUUUAUUCCCGUAGUCCCCCC
RNAcentral lists this long non-coding RNA (638 nucleotides) under Mytilus galloprovincialis (Mediterranean mussel). Lineage: Eukaryota; Metazoa; Mollusca; Bivalvia; Mytilida; Mytilidae. The record is from RNAcentral.